This 465-nucleotide ribosomal RNA is filed under the name uncultured bacterium. Its description in RNAcentral is "partial 16S ribosomal RNA". It matches the Rfam family "Bacterial small subunit ribosomal RNA", at positions 338 to 795 of the family's 1533-position model. The record is from RNAcentral.
CCUACGAGAGACAGCAGUGGGGAAUAUUGCGCAAUGGGCGAAAGCCUGACGGAGCGACGCCGCGUGAGGGAUGAAGGUCUUCGGAUCGUAAACCUCUGUCAGCAGGGAAGAACGGUCACUGUGCUAACUAGCAGUGAAUUGACGGUACCUGCACAGGAAGCACCGGCUAACUCCGUGCCAGCAGCCGCGGUAAUACGGAGGGUGCGAGCGUUAUUCGGAAUUAUUGGGCGUAAAGCGCUCGUAGGCGGUUUGUCAAGUCAAGGGUGAAAGCCCCGGGCUCAACGGGGGAACGGCCUUUGAAACGGGGAAACUGGAGUGUGUAAGAGGAGAGUGGAAUUCCAGGUGUAGGAGUGAAAUCCGUAGAUAGAUGGAGGAACAGCAGUGGCGAAGGCGACUAUCUGGCACAUAACUGACGCUGAGGAGCGAAAGCGUGGGUAGCAAACAGGAUUAGAUACCCGUGUAGUC